This 460-nucleotide ribosomal RNA is filed under the name uncultured bacterium. RNAcentral describes it as "partial 16S ribosomal RNA". It matches the Rfam family "Bacterial small subunit ribosomal RNA", at positions 338 to 795 of the family's 1533-position model. The record is from RNAcentral.
CCUACGGGAGACAGCAGUGAGGAAUAUUGGUCAAUGGCCGUAAGGCUGAACCAGCCAAGUCGCGUGAAGGAAGAAGGAUCUAUGGUUUGUAAACUUCUUUUAUAGGGGAAUAAAGGUAUCCACGUGUGGAUAUUUGCAUGUACCCUAUGAAUAAGGAUCGGCUAACUCCGUGCCAGCAGCCGCGGUAAUACGGAGGAUCCGAGCGUUAUCCGGAUUUAUUGGGUUUAAAGGGAGAGUAGAUGGGUUGUUAAGUCGGUUGUGAAAGUUUGGGGCUCAACCGUAAAAUUGCAGUGGAUACUGGCAGUCUUGAGUACAGGUGAGGUAUGCGGAAUUCGUGGUGUAGCGGUGAAAUGCUUAGAUAUCACGAAGAACCCCGAUUGCGAAGGCAGCUUACUAAACUGUGACUGACAUUGAUGCUCGAAGGUGUGGGUAUCAAACAGGAUUAGAUACCCCGGUAGUC